CGCCACAGUAAUGAUGGUUUCAGCCAAGAAGAUUCUGUGAUCUUCAGACUGUGUGACCUUGGGCAUAUCACUCCACUUCUAUCUCAGCUUCAAAGGAAAA
Neomonachus schauinslandi (Hawaiian monk seal) is the source of this 100-nucleotide long non-coding RNA. RefSeq lists it as uncharacterized. The transcript has 3 exons. The record is from RefSeq and is a predicted model, not a curated record. NCBI's taxonomy places the organism in Eukaryota, Metazoa, Chordata, Mammalia, Carnivora, Phocidae.